Molecule: ribosomal RNA, 450 nt
Filed under: uncultured bacterium
Lineage: Bacteria
Description: bacterial SSU rRNA
Rfam family: Bacterial small subunit ribosomal RNA
Source: RNAcentral
AGCGAACGCUGGCGGCAGGCCUAAAACAUGCAAGUCGAACGCCGUAGCAAUACGGAGUGGCAGACGGGUGAGUAACACGUGGGAACGUGCCUUUUGGUUCGGAACAACUGAGGGAAACUUCAGCUAAUACCGGAUAAGCCCUUACGGGGAAAGAUUUAUCGCCAAAAGAUCGGCCCGCGUCUGAUUAGCUAGUUGGUGAGGUAACGGCUCACCAAGGCUACGAUCAGUAGCUGGUCUGAGAGGAUGAUCAGCCACACUGGGACUGAGACACGGCCCAGACUCCUACGGGAGGCAGCAGUUAGGAAUCUUGGACAAUGGGCGCAAGCCUGAUCCAGCCAUGCCGCGUGAGUGAUGAAGGCCUUAGGGUUGUAAAGCUCUUUCAGCGGGGAAGAUAAUGACGGUACCCGCAGAAGAAGCCCCGGCUAACUUCGUGCCAGCAGCCGCCGUAAG